CCUACGGGCGGCAGCAGUAGGGAAUCUUUCACAAUGGGCGAAAGCCUGAUGGAGCAACGCCGCGUGCAGGAUGAAGGCCUUCGGGUUGUAAACUGCUUUUAUAAGCGAGAAAUAUGAUGGUAACUUAUGAAUAAGGAUCGGCUAACUACGUGCCAGCAGCCGCGGUCAUACGUAGGAUCCGAGCAUUAUCCGGAGUGACUGGGUGUAAAGAGUUGCGUAGGUGGCAUAAUAAGUAGCUAGUGAAAUCUGGUGGCUCAACCAUUCAGACUAUUAGCUAAACUGUUAAGCUCGAGACCGUUAGGGGUAACUGGAAUGUCUAGUGUAGGAGUGAAAUCCGUAGAUAUUAGAAGGAAAACCAAUAGCGUAGGCAGGUUGCUGGGACGGUUCUGACACUAAGGCACGAAAGCGUAGGGAGCAAACGGGAUUAGAUACCCUUGUAGUC
Molecule: ribosomal RNA, 442 nt
Filed under: uncultured bacterium
Lineage: Bacteria
Description: partial 16S ribosomal RNA
Rfam family: Bacterial small subunit ribosomal RNA
Source: RNAcentral